GAAUCAUCAAUUCAUGCUGUCAUUGCUAUCAAUUCCUGAAUUAUGUGAUCGAUCAUGUGAAGGUGCCACAUGGUGGUGCUCCUGACUCCACGUUGUUCAAAGGCCUGCACUGGCUGGAGGGAGUUUAAGCAGCAAGCCUACCAGAACUGGCUUUGGAAGAAGGGCAAAGAAGAAGAUUCAUCAAGGUUCAUAUUUCAGCAUCCUCUGGAAAACAGGGACAGAUACCUUUCUCUGGGUCAGUCAUGAAUGUGAAAAGAAGCAAAGCAGAGAGGAG
Long non-coding RNA from Lagopus leucura (white-tailed ptarmigan), 274 nucleotides. RefSeq lists it as uncharacterized. The record is from RefSeq and is a predicted model, not a curated record. The transcript has 3 exons. Lineage: Eukaryota; Metazoa; Chordata; Aves; Galliformes; Phasianidae.